This 406-nucleotide ribosomal RNA is filed under the name uncultured bacterium. RNAcentral describes it as "partial 16S ribosomal RNA". It matches the Rfam family "Bacterial small subunit ribosomal RNA", at positions 30 to 526 of the family's 1533-position model. The record is from RNAcentral.
AUUGAACGCUGGCGGCAGGCCUAACACAUGCAAGUCGAACGAGUGGCGGACGGGUGAGUAAUGGCUGGGAAACUGCCUGAUGGAGGGGGAUAACUACUGGAAACGGUAGCUAAUACCGCAUACCAUCAGAUGUGCCCAGAUGGGAGUAGCUUGUUGGUGGGGUAACGGCUCACCAAGGCGACGAUCCCUAGCUGGUCUGAGAGGGUGACCGGCCACACUGGAACUGAGACACGGCCCAGACUCCUACGGGAGGCAGCAGUGGGGAAUAUUGGACAAUGGGCGAAAGCCUGAUACAGCCAUGCCGCGUGUAUGAAGAAGGCCUUCGGGUUGUAAAGUACUUUCAGUAGGGAGGCGUUACCCACAGAAGAAGCCCCGGCUAACUCCGUGCCAGCCGCCGCGGUAAUUC